This 887-nucleotide long non-coding RNA is filed under the name Malus domestica (apple). RNAcentral's name for it is "long non-coding RNA (MDOM_LNC021114)". The record is from RNAcentral. Lineage: Eukaryota; Viridiplantae; Streptophyta; Magnoliopsida; Rosales; Rosaceae.
UUCAAAUCUUCAAAAACGUCCAUCCUCAUGUCUCCAUGCUUGCACUAUCCAAUCUUGGCUCAAAAAUGCUCAAAAAUGCUCAAAAAUGCACUUUCUUGCCAACUUUGUUAUUAUGACCUACAAACACACGAAAAUAGCGUAAAAUACAUAAUUAACUAAGAAAUAACAACACAAAUGCACAAGAACAAGCUAACUAAGUCGCAUAAAUAUGUUCCUAUCACAUUUGCCCAUAAAUUUUUACUUUUGAAUUUUUGUCUUGUCAAAGAAAUAGGCGGUUGCAUGGACACCGCUCCCCAUGGAUAAUUCCAAACCAUCAUCUAACCCCAGUCAUCAUGACUAAAAUCAUAGAGAAUGAAGUCUUAAUUGCAUCAAUUUAUGCAAACCUUGUUAGCAUAAAGGGGCUAGGCUACACAUCAAAUACAACGCUAUAUGUUACCCAACACGUUUAAAGUCAUAGAUUGAAUCAACAAGCAAACAUUGCUCAUGUGUAUAUGUGACGAUCCAUUCCGAAUUAUUAUAUAUUUUUCUCCCCGAGUGUAUAAAAUGACGAUAAUGCCCUCGUGGUUUAGUGACGUGUAUAAAGUCACGAGCGCAUCGACACGAGUUAGGGGCGAAUCAGUUCCUUAACGAAAAUGUUACAAUGAUUUUAGAGCGAGAUUGGAUGGAAUUAUAUUUUUGGGUUGACUAUUUCAUAUUCUCCAAUCAUCUUCUUUUCCUACAACCUUGGACCCAAUUAGAAUUUUUGGGCUUGUUUUAUUUUUUUUGGACCAAAUGUUAGGACCUGAAUCACACAACCCAAUCAAGGCUUCUGAUCUUUUUAUGCUGCCCAUUUUCGUAACCCACACGCACAUACACACACGUGCAAACCUUCUUCUCUUCCUCAUCUU